RNAcentral lists this long non-coding RNA (596 nucleotides) under Ananas comosus (pineapple). RNAcentral describes it as "long non-coding RNA (ACOM_LNC024841)". The record is from RNAcentral. Lineage: Eukaryota; Viridiplantae; Streptophyta; Magnoliopsida; Poales; Bromeliaceae.
UUUUUUUUAGAGCUAGGCUGGUAUAUUAUCAGUAGUACGGAGGCCUCCGUGCUACCAAGUUGUUUUCGAUGAUGCAGCUUCCAAGUCGACAAUCGGCUCCGUUAGACUUGAUCUAUACCAUUGAAAGUAUUUGGAAACUAAAUUUCAUAAUUUUUCAACAUUAUUUGGUUAGUGAUCAAAAGGUUUCAAAAUUAACAAUUUUAAUGGUAGAUGCGAUGCGUUUGUGAGUUUAACGGUGUAAAACAAUUCAAAUCUGAUGAAUUUUUUAUAAAAAAUUAUUUUCACUAUUUAGAGUAAGUUCAGUACAUCUGAUCUUAAAUUCAAGUCUUUUAUCAUCAUUUUUUAUUAGAUUUUUAUUUUCAGCCGUUUAUUUUUAGACUACUCGUUUGAUAGGUAAAUGAUGCCGAAAAAUUAUGAAAUUUAGUUUCCAAAUACUUUCAAUGUUGUAGAUCAAGUCUAACGGAGCCGAUCGUCGAUUUAAAACCCGCAAUAUUGAAAACAACUUUAUAAUACGGAGCCUUUCGUGCUAUCGAUAGUACACUCAGCCUAGUUUUUUUUUUAACCUCCUCAACUUGUAUAUUAUAUACACAACCAUU